This 395-nucleotide ribosomal RNA is filed under the name Balgus eschscholtzi. RNAcentral's name for it is "partial 16S ribosomal RNA". The record is from RNAcentral. Lineage: Eukaryota; Metazoa; Arthropoda; Insecta; Coleoptera; Elateridae.
UUUUGAUUUUAAUUUAAGGUUUAACCUGCUCAAUGAAUAUUUAAAUUGCUGCGGUAUUUUGACCGUGCAAAGGUAGCAUAAUAAUUAGUUUUUUAAUUAAAAGCUUGGAUGAAUGGUUGGACGAGAAAACAGCUGUCUCUUAAUUAUUAGAGUUGAAUUUAAUUUUUUAGUCAAAAAGCUAAGAUUUUAUUAAAAGACGAGAAGACCCUUUAGAGUUUUAUUAAUAAAAAUUAUAAUUAAUUAGGUAUUUUUGAGUGUGGUUGAUGUUAAUUUGGUUGGGGUGACUUUAAGAUAAAAUUAACUCUUUACAAAAAAAAUCAUUGAUUUUUGAAUUAAUAGUCUAAAUUUUUUAAGUUUAAAAUAAAUUACCUAAGGGAUAACAGCGUAAUUCUUUU